CCUACGGGGGGCAGCAGUGAGGAAUAGUGGUCAAUGGGCGUAAGCCUGAACCAGCCAAGUCGCGUGAGGGAUGAAGGUUCGAUGGAUCGUAAACCUCUUUUAUAAGGGAAUAAAGUGCGGGACGUGUCCCGUUUUGUAUGUACCUUAUGAAUAAGGAUCGGCUAACUCCGUGCCAGCAGCCGCGGUAAUACGGAGGAUCCGAGCGUUAUCCGGAUUUAUUGGGUUUAAAGGGUGCGUUGGCGGCCUUUUAAGUCAGCGGUGAAAGUCUGUGGCUCAACCAUAGAAUUGCCGUUGAUACUGGGAGGCUUGCUUAUGUUUGCGGCAGUCGGACUGCGUUGUGUAGCUGU
RNAcentral lists this ribosomal RNA (347 nucleotides) under uncultured bacterium. Its description in RNAcentral is "partial 16S ribosomal RNA". It matches the Rfam family "Bacterial small subunit ribosomal RNA", at positions 338 to 682 of the family's 1533-position model. The record is from RNAcentral.